GAUGAACGCUGGCGGCGUGCCUAAUACAUGCAAGUCGAGCGAACAGACGAGGAGCUUGCUCCUCUGACGUUAGCGGCGGACGGGUGAGUAACACGUGGAUAACCUACCUAUAAGACUGGGAUAACUUCGGGAAACCGGAGCUAAUACCGGAUAAUAUAUUGAACCGCAUGGUUCAAUAGUGAAAGACGGUUUUGCUGUCACUUAUAGAUGGAUCCGCGCCGCAUUAGCUAGUGGGUAAGGUAACGGCUUACCAAGGCAACGAUGCGUAGCCGACCUGAGAGGGUGAUCGGCCACACUGGAAGUGAGACACGGUCCAGACUCCUACGGGAGGCAGCAGUAGGGAAUCUUCCGCAAUGGGCGAAAGCCUGACGGAGCAACGCCGCGUGAGUGAUGAAGGUCUUCGGAUCGUAAAACUCUGUUAUUAGGGAAGAACAAAUGUGUAAGUAACUAUGCACGUCUUGACGGUACCUAAUCAGAAAGCCACGGCUAACUACGUG
RNAcentral lists this ribosomal RNA (497 nucleotides) under uncultured bacterium. RNAcentral's name for it is "partial 16S ribosomal RNA". It matches the Rfam family "Bacterial small subunit ribosomal RNA", at positions 28 to 507 of the family's 1533-position model. The record is from RNAcentral.